This is a long non-coding RNA of Gossypium arboreum, 403 nucleotides long. RefSeq lists it as uncharacterized. The record is from RefSeq and is a predicted model, not a curated record. The transcript is spliced from 2 exons. NCBI's taxonomy places the organism in Eukaryota, Viridiplantae, Streptophyta, Magnoliopsida, Malvales, Malvaceae.
GUGGCUCAGGUAGUGACCACUUUCCAAGAAAUGGGAGCGAUAGAGGUCAUACCUACGGGGCGUGCUCGUCGAGGGUCAAAUACGCCAUCGGCCUCAUAAAAUAUACAUCACUCCAAAAAUAAUAUUGGUAAUAGAACUGGUAUCUUGUAUUGCCAACCCACGUGGAGAAAACCCAUCAGCCUUUACAGCGAGAUAAUGGAAUCUGACUGUUUCAGACCAGGGCUGUGUAAUAACAGGUAAAUAUUCUUUCAUGAGACAGGGAUUUAACGUUUCCCAAACUAAAAAUGUUGGAAAAAUUGACAUAUUAUGCUUCAUGCCCUUUGGUUUCCAACCUCAAAUAUUCCUUUUCUAGUAUUUGUCACUUUCUUUGAUGAUAUACAUCGAUCAAACUUUCACUGUAAAA